Molecule: ribosomal RNA, 789 nt
Filed under: uncultured archaeon
Lineage: Archaea
Description: bacterial SSU rRNA
Rfam family: Archaeal small subunit ribosomal RNA
Source: RNAcentral
ACUGCUCAGUAACACGUGGAUAACCUGCCCUAAGGUGGAGGAUAACCCCGGGAAACUGGGGAUAAUACUCCAUAGGUCAGAGAUACUGGAAUGUUCUUUGACCGAAAGUUCCGGCGCCUUAGGAUGGAUCUGCGGCCGAUUAGGUAGUUGUUGGGGUAGUGGCCCAACAAGCCUGUAAUCGGUACGGGUUGUGGGAGCAAGAGCCCGGAGAUGGAAUCUGAGACACGAUUCCAGGCCCUACGGGGCGCAGCAGGCGCGAAAACUUUACAAUGCAGGAAACUGUGAUAAGGGAACCCCGAGUGCCCGUAUAUGCGGGCUGUCCAGGUGUUUAAAAUGCAUCUGAAGAAAGGGCCGGGCAAGACCGGUGCCAGCCGCCGCGGUAAUACCGGCGGCUCGAGUGGUGACCGCUUUUAUUGGGCUUAAAGCGUUCGUAGCUGGAUUUAUAAGUCUCUUGGGAAAUCCGCCGGCUCAACCGGCGGGCGUCCAAGAGAUACUGUUGAUCUAGGGAUCGGGAGAGGUGAGAGGUACUCCGGGGGUAGAAGUGAAGUUCUGUAAUCCCCGGGGGACCACCGAUGGCGAAGGCAUCUCACCAGAACGACUCCGACAGUGAGGAACGAAAGCUGGGGGAGCGAACCGGAUUAGAUACCCGGGUAGUCCCAGCCGUAAACGAUGCGCGUUAGGUGUACUGGUGACCACGAGUCACUGGGGUGCCGAAGGGAAACCGUGAAACGUGCCGCCUGGGAAGUACGGUCGCAAGGCUGAAACUUAAAGGAAUUGGCGGGGAAACAC